UACGAAGGGGGCUAGCGUUGUUCGGAAUUACUGGGCGUAAAGCGUGCGCAGGCGGCUUUGCAAGACAGAUGUGAAAUCCCCGGGCUCAACCUGGGAACUGCAUUUGUGACUGCAUGGCUAGAGUGCGGCAGAGGGGGAUGGAAUUCCGCGUGUAGCAGUGAAAUGCGUAGAUAUGCGGAGGAACACCGAUGGCGAAGGCAAUCCCCUGGGCCUGCACUGACGCUCAUGCACGAAAGCGUGGGGAGCAAACAGG
This 253-nucleotide ribosomal RNA is filed under the name uncultured bacterium. RNAcentral describes it as "partial 16S ribosomal RNA". It matches the Rfam family "Bacterial small subunit ribosomal RNA", at positions 524 to 776 of the family's 1533-position model. The record is from RNAcentral.